Molecule: ribosomal RNA, 1476 nt
Filed under: Pareas formosensis (Formosa slug snake)
Lineage: Eukaryota; Metazoa; Chordata; Lepidosauria; Squamata; Pareidae
Description: 16S ribosomal RNA
Rfam family: Bacterial large subunit ribosomal RNA
Source: RNAcentral
GCCAAUCGCACCACAAAUACAAACAUACACCACCCAACUAAACAAACCAUUUGACAAGCCAAGUAGAUGCGAUCGAACAGUAUUUAAACCACACACAGUACCGCAAGGGAACCCCUAAAGCAAAAAACAGCAAAGAUUAACCCUUGUACCUUUUGCAUCAUGGUUUAGCAAGAACACAAGACAAAAAGAACUACAGCCUACCCCCCCGAAACCAGAUGAGCUACUUUUAAGCAGCCUAAUGGGCGCACCCGUCUCUGUAGCAAAAGAGUGGGAAGACUUAAAAGUAGAGGUGAAACGCUUAACGAAUCUGGAGAUAGCUGGCUACCUAAAAAAGAAUAUAAGUUCUACUUUAGAUCCACCCAACACACAAUAGUCAUCUAAAGACACUCAAUAGAGGUACAGCCCUAUUGAAACAGGAUACAACCUGAAUUUGAGAGGAAAGUAAAUAACAUCCACCAGUAGGCCUUAAAGCAGCCACCUAAAAAAAUAUCGUUAAAGAAUUACUCAAAUAAAGCCCAAACAAACACAAAACUCCAAACCAACUAAAGGUAAGCCUAUAAUCAUAGACAUUAUCAUGCUAAAACUAAUAAUGAGACGCCCUCUCUUCAACGCACCCGUCCGCUAGAACAGAAACUCUACUAGCAAUUAACAGACCACAAAAGGUAAACAACUACUCAAUACACACCUUCAUACUCACUGUGACACCAACACUGGGGCGUUAAAAAGAAAGAUCAACUACUAUAAAAGGAACUCGGCAAACAAAGACUUCAACUGUUUAACAAAAACAUAACCUUUAGCCAAACAAAUAUUAAAGGCAACGCCUGCCCGGUGAACUAUUAAACGGCCGCGGUACCCUAACCGUGCAAAGGUAGCGUAAUCAUUUGUCUAUUAAUUGUAGACCUGUAUGAAAGGCAAAAUGAAAGCCUAACUGUCUCUUAUAGUCAAUCAAUUAAACUGAUCUCCUAGUACAAAAGCUAGAAUACCAACAUAAGACCAGAAGACCCUGUGAAGCUUCAACUAACUCAUUAAACCCUAUAAUGACUACUUUUGGUUGGGGCGACCUUGGAAAAAAAGAAAACUUCCAAUAACACGACUUCACUCGUACCCCAGGCUCACAAGCCCACAUAGACCCAGUAUACCUGAUAAAUGAACCAAGUUACUCCAGGGAUAACAGCGCUAUCUUCUUCAAGAGCCCAUAUCAAAAAGAAGGUUUACGACCUCGAUGUUGGAUCAGGACAUCCUGGCGGUGUAGCCGCUGCCAAGGGUUCGUUUGUUCAACGACUAAUAGUCCUACGUGAUCUGAGUUCAGACCGGAGCAAUCCAGGUCAGUUUCUAUCUAUGAUCUGUUAUUUUUAGUACGAAAGGACCAAAAUAACAAAGCCAAUACCACACGCACGCUUUAAGGAAAUGUAAGCCCCAUAAAACAAUAAAAACAUUAACCUAUAUAAGGUUAUUAAGGCACACCCUUAGCCCUAA